RNAcentral lists this small RNA (68 nucleotides) under Nippostrongylus brasiliensis. RNAcentral's name for it is "Nematode sRNA ceN72-3_ceN74-2". It matches the Rfam family "Nematode sRNA ceN72-3_ceN74-2". The record is from Rfam by way of RNAcentral. Lineage: Eukaryota; Metazoa; Nematoda; Chromadorea; Rhabditida; Heligmosomidae.
CGCUUCGGUCCGGAGUCAGUGGGUUACCUAUCAGACAACUCCCAUUGACAUCAACUUGACCGACUGGU